UAGGGAAUCUUCCACAAUGGGCGAAAGCCUGAUGGAGCAAUGCCGCGUGUGUGAUGAAGGGUUUCGGCUCGUAAAACACUGUUGUAAGAGAAGAAUGACAUUGAGAGUAACUGUUCAAUGUGUGACGGUAUCUUACCAGAAAGGAACGGCUAAAUACGUGCAG
RNAcentral lists this ribosomal RNA (163 nucleotides) under uncultured bacterium. RNAcentral's name for it is "partial 16S rRNA". It matches the Rfam family "Bacterial small subunit ribosomal RNA", at positions 355 to 510 of the family's 1533-position model. The record is from RNAcentral.